Long non-coding RNA from Tetranychus urticae (two-spotted spider mite), 1502 nucleotides. RefSeq lists it as uncharacterized. NCBI's taxonomy places the organism in Eukaryota, Metazoa, Arthropoda, Arachnida, Trombidiformes, Tetranychidae. The record is from RefSeq and is a predicted model, not a curated record.
UCAUCAGGCGUUUCUUAAUGUUUUUAUUGGGUUUGUCUUUUGUCUUUUACAGUUAUUAAACGUUUUCUAAUUGUUUUAUUUAUCGAUUUAUGAAUUAAUUGUGAAUCUUAUUUUUACACAGAUUGUUGUUAAAUGGUGGAUUAAUUGGAGCAAUUGAGUUUUGGGUUAAAGUGUUUAUAUGUUGCUGUUUUAACAUUGAAAGUCUUGGAGACAUUAUUCCGACUAUUUUAACACGUUUUUUUCAAGGAAAGCAUCUCAAUUUUCACCUUUACCUUUAUGACUUUUAUUCAUUACCGUCGUUAAUUUACAAAAAGUUGGACAAUAAACUGGAACAAUUAACUUGAUAUCAUUAACACGGGUGAAGAGCAAAAGUCUUCCAGAGAGUGGAUAAACAUAAAGAGGAUAAUGGAGAGAUGAACAUGGUUUUACUUUUAACCCUUAAACUCUUACACCUUGACCUUUUUAUUAUCGCCAUACAGUUGAAGUAACAGUUUAAUAAUGGUCAUAUUAACAACCUUGUUACCUUCUUGGAUUGGUUUCCUGUUGAAUAAUGCUGCUACGCUUCAUCCAGUUUAUAGUUAAAUAUGGAUGGUCACGAGAAUUCAUAGCGAGCUAUUUCAUUUUCUAAAGGCUCUCGCUUUCUUAACUCAUUCAAUUCCAGGAUCAAGAGGAAAUCAAUGGGUCGCUUGGUGAUUGUGAGCUUCAACAAUUAAAAUGACACAUCUUUUGUUGCUUUCAUCUUGAGCCGAGCUAUCGAUUUCAAUUCUAAGGGCUCAAGUCAAGAGGAUAAAGAUGAAAUGAUUAGAGAGUUAAAAGGUAAAGAUAUUAGGUGAAAUUGAAACCUGGAAUUUAGAAGAGAGAACAACAGAGAAAACUCUUUUUCUGUUAUUUGCUUUUGUCAAAGAUUGAAGUCGCAAACGUUUAACUCUUUUAAUCAUUUUCCUGACUUGAAGUAUUUCCAAUCUAUUUGUAAGAUUAACUUAAAUUGAAAAUUAACAUUAGAAUGGUGGCGAUAAUUCCAAAUGAAUCGACAGCAAGUUAGCCUUUGCCUUUGUUUGGACCUUUGUUGUUGUCCAUAAUUACACAUUUUAUUGUUUACAAGCAAAUCCUUUGGUAAAUGAAAUGGCUAGUUUGAAUAGUCAAAACAAAGUGAAAUGCAAAAUAGUAAUUUUAAUGAAUGGAUUGAAAAUGCGCCAAAACUAAAGAAACCAAGAGAUUAAGGUAAAAAUAAUAACAACAAAACACCCAACAGAGUUUAAGAUAAUCUUGUAAAGGUUGACACAAAUCUGUUCAAUACAAUUACUUGUCACUUCACUGUUUUCAAUUGAAAAACUAGUAACCUUAAAUUAUAACUUGAGAUACUAACAAGUUUAAAUUGUUUAAACAAUCAACUUUACUUUAACAGUGACUUUUACAGUUUGGCAAGUUUGAAUUUGGCUGACAAUUUUGUUGCAUCGCAAUAUAAAUAAAAAUAAUAAACACUUCAUUUUAGAUAUAAAAAA